AUUAACUCUCAAAAGCCCAAAUCAGCAUUUUAGCCAGAUUAGCAUGCUACGCUAAAAAAUGCUAACGUUGCUCAAAGUUAACCAGAUAGCUCAGGAGACCCAUUAGAGUCAAUAGAAACGUGUUAGCAUUUUAGCUAAUUAGCAUGCUAAGCUAACUAGCAUAAAUCAACAAGCACAGGCACGGUCAAGUUCAGAGCUGUACAUGUCGGGAACGGGAGUGAAUAUCAAAAAUCUGUUCAGUCAUUUCUGUCAGGCCCGGUCUGAAGUUCAUCUGAUAACAUUUUGAACAAAAUUGAACAAGAUUUCAGGGAGGAGUAGCGAAAAAACUGUAUUUCAUUCCAUUCAAUAUGGCGGACAGACGCCAUGUUGGAAAAUGACAGUUGAGACAUCAUCAGAUUCGGCAUAACCAAAGGAAUAAAAUGACAUAAAAAUAACAAAAAUCGAUCAACAUUUACAGUAGUUAUAAGGGGUUUUGCAAGAAUCGUUAUAUCUCUUGAACACUAGGUGGCGCUGUCUUCCAACUUCCGGGGUACCUCCGGGAUAUGGUGUUGAUGAUGCCUAUCGAUUUUUGUGAAGAUAUGUACAAUAGAUCAAAAGAUAUAGCAAUUUAUGACAAAAUUCAAAAUGGCGGACGGGUGGUCCUGGUGGUCUCGACAAAAUUGACAUCCACAGAUCCGGAAUGAUCUAAAGAAUCCAUAGACAUCAAGAAAAUAAUUUUCUGAUGAAUUGUUCAGAAGUUAUAAGCAAAAAAGUGCAUUUUUGGUAUCUCAACACCCAUAGGUGGCGCUGUUCCCAAAUUUGGCGUGGACCCCCAGAUCAUGGUGUAGAUGAAGUGUACCAAGUUUGGUAUCGAUUGAUCAAAGUUUGGCCGAGAUACAGCAUCUCAACCGAUUUUAGGUCAGCCUCAUUAAGUUCACAAUUGAAUAACUUUUGAACAAAGACGAAAAUCAAAAUUCUGUUCAGUCAUUUCUGUGCGGCUCAGUCCAAAGAACAUCUGAGCCAAAUUUCAGAAGAAUUGGACCAAUUUUGAAGGAGGAGUAGUGUUUAGACUGAAUACUGUACUUUUCAAAAUGGCCGCUACUGUAAUGGGCGGAGUUUUAAUGUAAGGUGUGGAAUGGAAUCUCCAUGAAGAGACAAAAUAGAUGUACUAAGUUUUAUUUUCAUAGAAUAAGUGGUUCAAGAGUUAUUAACGUUUGAAUGUUGAUUUUUUGGACUGGUGGUGGCGCUAUAGAGUUUGGCCUAGAGACCCAAAAGUUGGUCAGAUCACUAAUAAUGACCAGUUCUACAAGUGUGCCAAAUUUCAUCAUUUUCCCAUGUUCCCUUCAUAGGGCUGCCAUAGACUCCCAUUGGAGAAGAAGAAGAAUAAUAAUAAUAAUAAUAAAUAUAGCUGCAAGCAGCGAUACCGGGGCCAAGCCCUGAAGGGCUGUAGCCAGAGCAACGAGCGGGACGAAGCAAAACGGCCAAAACGGAACUUCCAUCGGACCGACGUUACCCACCCCGGAUUCGAUCCCACGACCUCUCGGGCUCGGGACCAGUGCCUUAGCUAAGUGCGCCACAUUAGUUGACACACAGUUCAUAUGGCACAGAAGAGAGGUUAAGGUGUGAGAAUGAACUCUCAAGAGCCCGAAGUAGCAUUUUAGCCAGAUUAGCAUGCUACGCUAAAAAAUGCUAACGUUGCUCAAAGUUAACCAGAUAGCUCAGGAGACCCAUUAGAGUCAAUAGAAACAUGUUAGCAUUUUAGCUAAUUAGCAUGCUAAGCUAACUAGCAUAAAUCAACAAGCACAGGCACGGUCAACUUCGGAGCUGUACAUGUCGGGAACGGGAGUGAAUAUCAAAAAUCUGUUCAGUCAUUUCUGUCAGGCCCGGUCUGAAGUUCAUCUGAUAAAAUUUUGAACAAAAUUGAACAAGAUUUCAGGGAGGAGUAGCGAAAAAACUGUACUUCAUUCCAUUCAAUAUGGCGGACAGACGCCAUGUUGGAAAAUGACAGUUGAGACAUCAUCAGAUUCGGCAUAACCAAAGGAAUAAAAUGACAUAAAAAUAACAAAAAUCGAUCAAAAUUUACAGUAGUUAUAAGGGGUUUUGCAAGAAUCGUUAUAUCUCUUGAACACUAGGUGGCGCUGUCUUCUAACUUCCGGGGUACCUCAGGCACAUGUUGUUGAUGAUGCCUAUCGAUUUUUGUGAAGAUAUGUACAAUAGAUCAAAAGAUAUAGCAAUUUAUGACACAAUUCAAAAUGGCGGACGGGUGGUCCUGGUGGUCUCGACAAAAUUGACAUCCACAGAUCCGGAAUGAUCUAAAGAAUCCAUAGACAUCAAGAAAAUAAUUUUCUGAUGAAUUGUUCAGAAGUUAUAAGCAAAAAAGUGCAUUUUUGGUAUCUCAACACCCAUAGGUGGCGCUGUUCCCAAAUUUGGCGUGGACCCCCAGAUCAUGGUGUAGAUGAAGUGUACCAAGUUUGGUAUCGAUUGAUCAAAGUUUGGCCGAGAUACAGCAUCUCAACCGAUUUUAGGUCAGCCUCAUUAAGUUCACAAUUGAAUAACUUUUGAACAAAGACGAAAAUCAAAAUUCUGUUCAGUCAUUUCUGUGCGGCUCAGUCCAAAGAACAUCUGAGCCAAAUUUCAGAAGAAUUGGACCAAUUUUGAAGGAGGAGUAGUGUUUAGACUGAAUACUGUACUUUUCAAAAUGGCCGCCACUGUAAUGGGCGGAGUCUUAAUGUAAGAUAUGGAAUGGAAUCUCCAUGAAGAGACAAAAUAGAUGUACUAAGUUUUAUUUUCAUAGAAUAAGUGGUUCAAGAGUUAUUAACGUUUGAAUGUUGAAUUUUUGGACUGGUGGUGGCGCUAUAGAGUUUGGCCUAGAGACCCCAAAGUUGGUCAGAUCACUAAUAAUGACCAGUUCUACAAGUGUGCCAAAUUUCAUCAUUUUCCCAUGUUCCCUUCAUAGGGCUGCCAUAGACCCAAUGGGACGAAAAGAAGAAGAAUAAUAAUAAUAAAUAUAGCUGCAAGCAGCGAUACCGGGGCCAAGCCCUGAAGGGCUGUAGCCAGAGCAACGAGCGGGACGAAGCAAAACGGCCAAAACGGAACUUCCGUUGGACCGACGUUACCCACCCCGGAUUCGAUCCCACGACCUCUCGGGUUUGGGACGAGUGCCUUAGCUAAGUGCGCCACAUUAGUUGACACACUGUUUGCAUGGCACAGAAGAGAGGUUAAGGUGUGAGAAUGAGGUCACUGAAGAAAGUUGCUUAGCAAUUUAAGCAGCAUGAUAUGGAAAGUUGAGUAAAUUGUAAUUCAGACUUCUGAGAUAUGUCCAGAACAUGGUUUUAAUAAUCCCUACCGAUUAUAGUAGAAAUCUUUCCAUGGGUUGAAAAGAUAUAGAAACUUAGGACACAAUUCUUAAUGUCAGGCAGUUAGUUUAGUUAAUCCUGGCAAAAUUUACAUCCAUGGAUUCGGCAUGUUUCGAGGAAUAGACUGACGACAAGAUCAUGAUUUUCCAACUAAUUGUUCAAAAGUUAUAAGCAGAAAUGUGAGUCUUUGGUAUCUCACGACCCAUAGGUGGCACUGUUCCCAACUUUGGGAUAUAUUCUCAGUUCAUAGUGUUGAUGAACUGUAGCGAGUUUUGUGGCAAUUGAUCAAAGUACGGCUGAGAUAUAGCCUCUCAUACAAUUUCGAUUGAACACUAUUAACUUCAGGGCAUCAUAACUCUUUUUUUGACCAGUAAGUCGAAAAAUUCUGUUCAGUCAUUUCUGUGCUGCUCGGUCCAAAGAUCGUCUGAGGAAAUUUUGAGAAGAAUUGGGCCACAUUUGAAGGAGGAGUAGCGAAAAAACGGAAUAUUGUACUUUUCUUAAUGGCCUUCACUGUAAUGGCAGGAAUUUUAUUGUAAACUAUUCAAUGUGAUCAGCGUGAAGAGAGGAAUCAGGUGUACUAAGUUUUAUCUUGAUAGAAGAAGGUGUUCAAAAGUUAUAAGGAAAAAUGUGCAUUUAUGCUAUCUCAUGACCCAUAGGUGGCGCUGUGCCCGAAUUCGGCAUGAACCCUCAGAUCAUGGUGUUGGUGAAGUGUAUCAAGUUUAGUUUCGAUUGAUCAAUGUUUGGCCGAGAUACAGCCUCUUAACCGAUUUUGGGUCGACCUCGUUAUGUUCACAAUUUAAUAACUUUUGAACAAAGACGAAUAUCAAAAAUCUGUUCAGUCAUUUCUGUGCGGCUCGGUCCGAAGAUCGUCUGUGGUAAAUUUCAGAAAAAUCAAACCACUUUUGAAGGAGGAGUAGCGUUUAAACGGAAACACUUAAUUAGCUUAAUAGCAAUUAUUGUAAUGGGUGGAAACUUAAUGUAAGGUAUAGAAUGUAAUCUCCAUGAAGAGAGUAAUCAUGUGUACUAAGUUUUAUCUGUCUAGACCAAAGGGUUCAGGAGUUAUUAAAGUUUCAAAACUGAAUUUUUGAACUGGUGGUGGCGCUGUAGAGUUGGUCUUAGAGACCCCAAAGUUGGUCAGAUCACUAUUGGUGACCCUCUCUAGAAGUGUGCCAAAUUUCAUCAUUUUCCCAUGUUCCCUUCAUAGGGCUAGCAUAGUGAUCGAUUGUUUUUGCUCGAAAAUUCUACCAAAAACAAUCGCUAAUAUAGCUGCAAGCAGCGAUACCGGGGCCAAGCCCUGAAGGGCUGUAGCCAGAGCAACGAGCGGGACGAAGCAAAACGGCCGAAACGGAGCGUACGUCAGGACAACCGAUCAGUUCAGAAGUAGAGAAGUUUGAAAUUGAACAGAACUUUAGAUGAGAAAGACCAAAAACAUAUUUUUGAUUGAAGGCAAACACACUCAGGAAAUGCAAAGGCUUGAACAGAAGCAACAUUAACUGCCCUUGAUCCAAACCCAUGAACUCAGAAACAACAUUAACUGUCCUGGAUUCGAACCCAUGACCUCAGAAGCUCAGAACCAGCGGCUUAACAUACUGCACCACUGAGUCUUUACACAUCCAGUGAGCUGCAGAAGAAAGGUUAAGGUGUGAGGAUGAGGUCACUAAAGAAAAUUGCCUAGCAUUUUAAGGUAGUUUAGUCAAUCCUGGCAAAAUUUACAUCCAUAGAUUCGGCAUGACCCGAGGAAUAGAAAGACACCAAGAUCAUGAUUUUCCAACUAAUUGUUCAAAAGCUAUGAGCAGAAAUGUGAAUUUUUGGUAUCUCAUGACCCAUAGGUGGCGCUGUUUCCAACUUUGGGAUAUAUUCUCAGUUCAUAGUGUUGAUGAAGUGUAGAAAGUUUUGUGGUGAUUGAUCAAAGUACGGCCGAGAUACAGCUUCUGGAACAAUUUCGAUUGAACACUGUUGACUUCAGAGCAUCAUAACUCUUUUUUUGACCAGUAGGUCGAAAAAUUCUGUCCAGUCAUUUCCGUGCGGCUCGGUCCAAAGAUUGUCUGAGGAAAUUUUGAGAAGAAUUGGGCCACAUUUGAAGGAGGAGUAGCGAAAAAACGGAAUACUGUACUUUUCUUAAUGGCCUUCACUGUAAUGGCAGGAAUUUUAAUGUAAACUAUUCAAUGUGAUCAGCGUGAAGAGAGGAAUCAGGUGUACUAAGUUUUAUCUUGAUAGAAGAAGGUGUUCAAAAGUUAUAAGGAAAAAUGUGCAUUUAUGCUAUAUCAUGACCCAUAGGUGGCGCUGUGCCCGAAUUCGGCAUGAACCCUCAGAUCAUGGUGUAGAUGAAGUGUAUCAAGUUUAGUUUCGAUUGAUCAAUGUUUGGCCGAGAUACAGCAUCUCAACCGAUUUUGGGUCGACCUCGUUAUGUUCACAAUUUAAUAACUUUUGAACAAAGACGAAUAUCAAAAAUCUGUUCAGUCAUUUCUGUGCGGCUCGGUCCGAAGAUCGUCUGUGGCAAAUUUCAGAAAAAUCAAACCACUUUUGAAGGAGGAGUAGCGUUUAAACAGAAACACUUAAUUAGCUAAAUAGCAAUUACUGUAAUGGGUGGAGACUUAAUGUAAGGUAUAGAGUGUAAUCUCCAUGAAGAGAGUAAUCAUGUGUACUAAGUCGUAUCUGUAUAGACCAAAGGGUUCAGGAGUUAUUCAAGUUUAAAAACUGAAUUUUUGAACUGGUGGUGGCGCUGUAGAGUUGGUCUUAGAGACCCCAAAGUUGGUCAGAUCACUAUUGGUGACCAUCUCUAGAAGUGUGCCAAAUUUCAUCAUUUUCCCAUGUUCCCUUCAUAGGGCUUGCAUAGUGAUCGAUUGUUUUUGCUCGAAAAUUCUACCAAAAACAAUCGCUAAUAUAGCUGCAAGCAGCGAUACCGGGGCCAAGCCCUGAAGGGCUGUAGCCAGAGCAACGAGCGGGACGAAGCAAAACGGCCAAAACAGAACUUCCAUCGGAUCGACAUUACCCAACCCGGAUUCGAUCCCACGACCUCUCGGAUUCGGAAACAGUGCCUUAGCUAAGUGCGCCACAUUAGUUGACACACUGUUUGCAUGGCACAGAAGAGAGGUUAAGGUGUGAGAAUUAACUCUCAAAAGCCCGAAGUAGCAUUUUAGCCAGAUUAGCAUGCUACGCUAAAAAAUGCUAACAUUGCUCAAAGUUAACCAGAUAGCUCAGGAGACCCAUUAGAGUCAAUAGAAACGUGUUAGCAUUUUAGCUAAUUAGCAUGCUAAGCUAAUUAGCAUAAAUCAACCAGCACAGGCACGGUCAACUUCAGAGCUGUACACGCCGGGAACGGGAGUGAAUAUCAAAAAUCUGUUCAGUCAUUUCUGUCAGGCCCGGUCCGAAGUUCAUCUGAUAAAAAUUUGAACAAAAUUGAACAAGAUUUCAGGGAGGAGUAGCGAAAAAACUGUAUUUCAUUCCAUUAAAUAUGUCGGACAGACGCCAUAUUGGAAAAUGGCAAAUGAGAGAUCAUCAGAUUCGGCAUAACCCACGGAAUAAAAUGACAUAAAAAUAACAAAAAUUGAUCAACAUUUACAGUAGUUAUAAGGGGUUUUGCAAGAAUCGUUAUAUCUCUUGAACACUAGGUGGCGCUGUCUUCCAACUUCCGGGGCAUCUCCGGGACAUGGUGUUGAUGAUGCCUAUUGAUUUUUGUGAAGAUAUGUACAGUAGAUCAAAAGAUAUAGCAAUUUAUGACAAAAUUCAAAAUGGCGGACGGGUGGUCCUGGUGGUCUUGACAAAAUUGACAUCCACAGAUUCGGAAUGAUCUAAAGAAUCCAUAGACAUCAAGAUCAUAAUUUUCAGAUGAAUUGUUCAGAAGUUAUAAGCAAAAAAGUGCAUUUUUGGUAUCUCAACACCCAUAGGUGGCGCUGUUCCCAAAUUUGGCGUGGACCCCCAGAUCAUGGUGUAGAUGAAGUGUACCAAGUUUGGUAUCGAUUGAUCAAAGUUUGGCCGAGAUACAGCAUCUCAACCGAUUUUAGGUCAGCCUCAUUAAGUUCACAAUUGAAUAACUUUUGAACAAAGACGAAAAUCAAAAUUCUGUUCAGUCAUUUCUGUGCGGCUCAGUCCAAAGAACAUCUGAGCCAAAUUUCAGAAGAAUUGGACCAAUUUUGAAGGAGGAGUAGUGUUUAGACUGAAUACUGUACUUUUCAAAAUGGCCGCUACUGUAAUGGGCGGAGUUUUAAUGUAAGGUGUGGAAUGGAAUCUCCAUGAAGAGACAAAAUAGAUGUACUAAGUUUUAUUUUCAUAGAAUAAGUGGUUCAAGAGUUAUUAACGUUUGAAUGUUGAUUUUUUGGACUGGUGGUGGCGCUAUAGAGUUUGGCCUAGAGACCCAAAAGUUGGUCAGAUCACUAAUAAUGACCAGUUCUACAAGUGUGCCAAAUUUCAUCAUUUUCCCAUGUUCCCUUCAUAGGGCUGCCAUAGACUCCCAUUGGAGAAGAAGAAGAAUAAUAAUAAUAAUAAUAAAUAUAGCUGCAAGCAGCGAUACCGGGGCCAAGCCCUGAAGGGCUGUAGCCAGAGCAACGAGCGGGACGAAGCAAAACGGCCAAAACGGAACUUCCAUCGGACCGACGUUACCCACCCCGGAUUCGAUCCCACGACCUCUCGGGCUCGGGACCAGUGCCUUAGCUAAGUGCGCCACAUUAGUUGACACACAGUUCAUAUGGCACAGAAGAGAGGUUAAGGUGUGAGAAUGAACUCUCAAGAGCCCGAAGUAGCAUUUUAGCCAGAUUAGCAUGCUACGCUAAAAAAUGCUAACGUUGCUCAAAGUUAACCAGAUAGCUCAGGAGACCCAUUAGAGUCAAUAGAAACAUGUUAGCAUUUUAGCUAAUUAGCAUGCUAAGCUAACUAGCAUAAAUCAACAAGCACAGGCACGGUCAACUUCGGAGCUGUACAUGUCGGGAACGGGAGUGAAUAUCAAAAAUCUGUUCAGUCAUUUCUGUCAGGCCCGGUCUGAAGUUCAUCUGAUAAAAUUUUGAACAAAAUUGAACAAGAUUUCAGGGAGGAGUAGCGAAAAAACUGUACUUCAUUCCAUUCAAUAUGGCGGACAGACGCCAUGUUGGAAAAUGACAGUUGAGACAUCAUCAGAUUCGGCAUAACCAAAGGAAUAAAAUGACAUAAAAAUAACAAAAAUCGAUCAAAAUUUACAGUAGUUAUAAGGGGUUUUGCAAGAAUCGUUAUAUCUCUUGAACACUAGGUGGCGCUGUCUUCUAACUUCCGGGGUACCUCAGGCACAUGUUGUUGAUGAUGCCUAUCGAUUUUUGUGAAGAUAUGUACAAUAGAUCAAAAGAUAUAGCAAUUUAUGACACAAUUCAAAAUGGCGGACGGGUGGUCCUGGUGGUCUCGACAAAAUUGACAUCCACAGAUCCGGAAUGAUCUAAAGAAUCCAUAGACAUCAAGAAAAUAAUUUUCUGAUGAAUUGUUCAGAAGUUAUAAGCAAAAAAGUGCAUUUUUGGUAUCUCAACACCCAUAGGUGGCGCUGUUCCCAAAUUUGGCGUGGACCCCCAGAUCAUGGUGUAGAUGAAGUGUACCAAGUUUGGUAUCGAUUGAUCAAAGUUUGGCCGAGAUACAGCAUCUCAACCGAUUUUAGGUCAGCCUCAUUAAGUUCACAAUUGAAUAACUUUUGAACAAAGACGAAAAUCAAAAUUCUGUUCAGUCAUUUCUGUGCGGCUCAGUCCAAAGAACAUCUGAGCCAAAUUUCAGAAGAAUUGGACCAAUUUUGAAGGAGGAGUAGUGUUUAGACUGAAUACUGUACUUUUCAAAAUGGCCGCCACUGUAAUGGGCGGAGUCUUAAUGUAAGAUAUGGAAUGGAAUCUCCAUGAAGAGACAAAAUAGAUGUACUAAGUUUUAUUUUCAUAGAAUAAGUGGUUCAAGAGUUAUUAACGUUUGAAUGUUGAUUUUUUGGACUGGUGGUGGCGCUAUAGAGUUUGGCCUAGAGACCCAAAAGUUGGUCAGAUCACUAAUAAUGACCAGUUCUACAAGUGUGCCAAAUUUCAUCAUUUUCCCAUGUUCCCUUCAUAGGGCUGCCAUAGACUCCCAUUGGAGAAGAAGAAGAAUAAUAAUAAUAAUAAUAAAUAUAGCUGCAAGCAGCGAUACCGGGGCCAAGCCCUGAAGGGCUGUAGCCAGAGCAACGAGCGGGACGAAGCAAAACGGCCAAAACGGAACUUCCAUCGGACCGACGUUACCCACCCCGGAUUCGAUCCCACGACCUCUCGGGCUCGGGACCAGUGCCUUAGCUAAGUGCGCCACAUUAGUUGACACACAGUUCAUAUGGCACAGAAGAGAGGUUAAGGUGUGAGAAUGAACUCUCAAGAGCCCGAAGUAGCAUUUUAGCCAGAUUAGCAUGCUACGCUAAAAAAUGCUAACGUUGCUCAAAGUUAACCAGAUAGCUCAGGAGACCCAUUAGAGUCAAUAGAAACAUGUUAGCAUUUUAGCUAAUUAGCAUGCUAAGCUAACUAGCAUAAAUCAACAAGCACAGGCACGGUCAACUUCGGAGCUGUACAUGUCGGGAACGGGAGUGAAUAUCAAAAAUCUGUUCAGUCAUUUCUGUCAGGCCCGGUCUGAAGUUCAUCUGAUAAAAUUUUGAACAAAAUUGAACAAGAUUUCAGGGAGGAGUAGCGAAAAAACUGUACUUCAUUCCAUUCAAUAUGGCGGACAGACGCCAUGUUGGAAAAUGACAGUUGAGACAUCAUCAGAUUCGGCAUAACCAAAGGAAUAAAAUGACAUAAAAAUAACAAAAAUCGAUCAAAAUUUACAGUAGUUAUAAGGGGUUUUGCAAGAAUCGUUAUAUCUCUUGAACACUAGGUGGCGCUGUCUUCUAACUUCCGGGGUACCUCAGGCACAUGUUGUUGAUGAUGCCUAUCGAUUUUUGUGAAGAUAUGUACAAUAGAUCAAAAGAUAUAGCAAUUUAUGACACAAUUCAAAAUGGCGGACGGGUGGUCCUGGUGGUCUCGACAAAAUUGACAUCCACAGAUCCGGAAUGAUCUAAAGAAUCCAUAGACAUCAAGAAAAUAAUUUUCUGAUGAAUUGUUCAGAAGUUAUAAGCAAAAAAGUGCAUUUUUGGUAUCUCAACACCCAUAGGUGGCGCUGUUCCCAAAUUUGGCGUGGACCCCCAGAUCAUGGUGUAGAUGAAGUGUACCAAGUUUGGUAUCGAUUGAUCAAAGUUUGGCCGAGAUACAGCAUCUCAACCGAUUUUAGGUCAGCCUCAUUAAGUUCACAAUUGAAUAACUUUUGAACAAAGACGAAAAUCAAAAUUCUGUUCAGUCAUUUCUGUGCGGCUCAGUCCAAAGAACAUCUGAGCCAAAUUUCAGAAGAAUUGGACCAAUUUUGAAGGAGGAGUAGUGUUUAGACUGAAUACUGUACUUUUCAAAAUGGCCGCCACUGUAAUGGGCGGAGUCUUAAUGUAAGAUAUGGAAUGGAAUCUCCAUGAAGAGACAAAAUAGAUGUACUAAGUUUUAUUUUCAUAGAAUAAGUGGUUCAAGAGUUAUUAACGUUUGAAUGUUGAAUUUUUGGACUGGUGGUGGCGCUAUAGAGUUUGGCCUAGAGACCCCAAAGUUGGUCAGAUCACUAAUAAUGACCAGUUCUACAAGUGUGCCAAAUUUCAUCAUUUUCCCAUGUUCCCUUCAUAGGGCUGCCAUAGACCCAAUGGGACGAAAAGAAGAAGAAUAAUAAUAAUAAUAAUAAUAAUAAAACAUACAGAUACAAUAGGGGCUACAGCCCUCUGGGCUUGGCCCCUAAUAAAGAAAACGUACAGAUACAAUAGGGGCUACAGCCCUCUGGGCUUGGCCCCUAAAUAUAGCUGCAAGCAGCGAUACCGGGGCCAAGCCCUGAAGGGCUGUAGCCAGAGCAACGAGCGGGACGAAGCAAAACGGCCAAAACGGAACUUACAUCGGAUCGACGUUACCCACCCCGGAUUCGAUCCCACGACCUCUCGGGUUUGGGACUGGUGCCUUAGCGAAGUGCGCCACAUUAGUUGACACACAGUUUGCAUGGCACAGAAGAGACGUUAAGGUGUGAGAAUGAACUCUCAAAAGCCCGAAGCAGCAUUUUAGCCAGAUUAGCAUGCUACGCUAAAAAAUGCUAACGUUGCUCAAAGUUAACCAGAUAGCUCAGGAGACCCAUUAGAGUCAAUAGAAACAUGUUAGCAUUUUAGCUAAUUAGCAUGCUAAGCUAAUUAGCAUGAAUUAACAAGCACAGGCACGGUCAACUUCAGAGCUGUACAUGUCAGGAACGGGAGUGAAUAUCAAAAAUCUGUUCAGUCAUUUCUGUCAGGCCCGGUCUGAAGUUCAUCUGAUAAAAUUUUGGACAAAAUUGAACAAGAUUUCAGGGAGGAGUAGCGAAAAAACUGUAUUUCAUUCCAUUCAAUAUGGUGGACAGACGCCAUAUUGGAAAAUGAAAAUUGAGACAUCAUCAGAUUCAGCAUAACCCACGGAAUAAAAUGACAUAAAAAUAACAAAAAUCGAUCAACAUUUACAGUAGUUAUAAGGGGUUUUGCAAGAAUCGUUAUAUCUCUUGAACACUAGGUGGCGCUCGCUUCCAACUUCCGGGGUACCUCCGGGAUAUGGUGUUGAUGAUGCCUAUCGAUUUUUGUGAAGAUAUGUACAGUAGAUCAAAAGAUAUAGCAAUUUUUGACAAAUUUCAAAAUGGCGGACGGGUGGUCCAGGUGGUCUUGACAAAAUUGACAUCCACAGAUUCGGAAUGAUCUAAAGAAUCCAUAGACAUCAAGAUCAUAAUUUUCAGAUGAAUUGUUCAGAAGUUAUAAGCAAAAAAGUGCAUUUUUGGUAUCUCAACACCCAUAGGUGGCGCUAUUCCCAAAUUUGGCAUGGACCCCCAGAUCAUGGUGUAGACGAAGUGUACCAAGUUUGGUUACGAUUGAUCAAAGUUUGGCCGAGAUACAGCAUCUCAACCGA
This is a long non-coding RNA of Carassius gibelio (silver crucian carp), 12265 nucleotides long. RefSeq lists it as uncharacterized. NCBI's taxonomy places the organism in Eukaryota, Metazoa, Chordata, Actinopteri, Cypriniformes, Cyprinidae. The record is from RefSeq and is a predicted model, not a curated record. The transcript is spliced from 6 exons.